UGAGGAAUAUUGGUCAAUGGGCGCGAGCCUGAACCAGCCAAGUCGCGUGAGGGAUGACGGCCCUACGGGUUGUAAACCUCUUUUGUCGGGGAGCAAAUUCCGUUACGUGUAACGGAGUCGAGAGUACCCGAAGAAAAGCAUCGGCUAACUCCGUGCCAGCAGCCGUGGUAAUAGAUCUGU
Molecule: ribosomal RNA, 180 nt
Filed under: uncultured bacterium
Lineage: Bacteria
Description: partial 16S ribosomal RNA
Rfam family: Bacterial small subunit ribosomal RNA
Source: RNAcentral